This 460-nucleotide ribosomal RNA is filed under the name uncultured bacterium. RNAcentral describes it as "partial 16S ribosomal RNA". It matches the Rfam family "Bacterial small subunit ribosomal RNA", at positions 338 to 795 of the family's 1533-position model. The record is from RNAcentral.
CCUACGGGGGGCAGCAGUGAGGAAUAUUGGUCAAUGGACGAGAGUCUGAACCAGCCAAGUAGCGUGAAGGAUGACUGCCCUAUGGGUUGUAAACUUCUUUUAUAUGGGAAUAAAAUGUUCCACGUGUGGGAUUUUGUAUGUACAAUAUGAAUAAGGAUCGGCUAACUCCGUGCCAGCAGCCGCGGUAAUACGGAUGAUCCGAGCGUUAUCCGGAUUUAUUGGGUUUAAAGGGAGCGUAGGUGGAUUGUUAAGUCAGUUGUGAAAGUUUGCGGCUCAACCGUAAAAUUGCAGUUGAAACUGGCAGUCUUGAGUACAGUAGAGGUGGGCGGAAUUCGUGGUGUAGCGGUGAAAUGCUUAGAUAUCACGAAGAACUCCGAUUGCGAAGGCAGUUCACUGGACUGCAACUGACACUGAGGCUCGAAAGUGUGGGUAUCAAACAGGAUUAGAUACCCGGGUAGUC